This 21-nucleotide microRNA is filed under the name Caenorhabditis briggsae. RNAcentral's name for it is "Cbr-Mir-7583-P4_3p* (star (passenger))". The record is from RNAcentral. Lineage: Eukaryota; Metazoa; Nematoda; Chromadorea; Rhabditida; Rhabditidae.
CCAUCCGUCAUUUGUGGUUGA